CGUAGGACACAAGCGUUAUCCGGAGUUACUGGGCGUAAAGGGCGUGUAGGCGGAUCAAUAAGUCUAUUCUGAAAGCUCCUGGCUAAACUGGGAGAGGCGAAUGGAGACUGUUGGUCUAGAGUGAGGAAGAGGAAAGUGGAAUUCCGCGUGUAGUGGUGAAAUGCGUAGAGAUGCGGAGGAACACCAGUGGCGAAAGCGGCUUUCUGGUCCUUAACUGACGCUGAGGCGCGAAAGCAUGGGGAGCGAACGGGAUUAGAAACCCCGGUAGUCCAUGCCGUAAACGAUGUUCACUAAAUGUUCGUUUCCCGCGAGGGAAGUGGGUAUUGAAGCUAACGCAGUAAGUGAACCGCCUGGGGAGUACGGUCGCAAGGCUA
This 374-nucleotide ribosomal RNA is filed under the name uncultured organism. Its description in RNAcentral is "bacterial SSU rRNA". It matches the Rfam family "Bacterial small subunit ribosomal RNA", at positions 526 to 896 of the family's 1533-position model. The record is from RNAcentral.